CCCCCUUCCCCCACCCUCACUGGGCUAGGCUUCUCUCCAAGACAGUGGCACCUGCUUUCAGAGAGACCAGUGAAGUCCCCACAGGACCCAGAGAUGAGGGACCUGAGGCUCAGAGAGGGGAGUUAACUGGCCCAGUGUCACACAGCAAGUCAAGACUCUGCCACACAUCAUCACAGGAGCAUCGGAGAGAGGAGGGGGCCGUGUUGCAGCUGCCUGACUUCGCAGUGUUGGGGAACCCAUCAGCUGGGAGCAAAGUCCUUCUCUUCUCAUCUGGGAGGACCCGUUCCCAGAAGGGAAAUUACUGAGUAAAAGCAAACAAGCAUUUUUCAAGCUACGCUUUCUGAAGCUGCUUUCCGAACAUAGCACGUCACUCCCGCAGUGUCUCUGUCAACCUGGCCACCUUGGGCUUUGAGAAUGUUCUCCCGCUGAG
Molecule: long non-coding RNA, 430 nt
Filed under: Mustela putorius furo (domestic ferret)
Lineage: Eukaryota; Metazoa; Chordata; Mammalia; Carnivora; Mustelidae
Description: lncRNA (ENSMPUG00000028551.1)
Source: RNAcentral